Molecule: long non-coding RNA, 3272 nt
Filed under: Spirodela polyrhiza (greater duckweed)
Lineage: Eukaryota; Viridiplantae; Streptophyta; Magnoliopsida; Alismatales; Araceae
Description: long non-coding RNA (SPOL_LNC000398)
Source: RNAcentral
UCAUGCGCGGGCGUCGGUUAAGCUAAACUCCUCUCGCGGCGCACUGUCAACUUCCCGCCACUCAAGGAGCCGGGAUAAUAAUAUAAGAUAGUGCUCCGCUAAUAAUAAAAUCACGUUUAAAUUAAUUUGACAGCUCCCGGAGGAACGAUUCCCUCCCACAAAUGGUAUUUUCCAUAUUUUAAAAUAUAUGGAAAACCCAGAAAAUAUCUUGACUUAUUUAGUCUCUGUGGAGAUCCAUCUCUCUCUCUCUUUCUCUCUGUCUUUCGCUCAUACGUACGGUUACGUACGAAGCGGGUCUACCGGACGUGACGUGGUCCCCUGAUUCUGAGUUACGAGGCGCCAUCACGUCCGUCCAGUUGUCGAGAUGGUCCCUCCAAACCUGUCGCGAGGAAAUUCUGCCCCUGUUUGGGGAGGCCGCGGGGAGAGAUUUCCGAAAUCGAUUCCCCUCUGCCGGCGGGGCUGGGUCGGCGGCGCCGCUGCCCCCAGGCCAUCAUCACCUACCGGGCCUGGCAGAGCAAUCAAGUAGGAGAGCGUCAGCAGUAAUGGAUUUCCACGAGACGGAAGGAAAAAUCAUGGGAGGCGCCCGGAGGGGACCCUCUGAUUCCGGACCCCAGAUGACUUUUUGACCCAGUGGCAAGGUCAACGCAGAAGAGGGGUCAACGAACCGGUCAACCAAUGCAGGGUCAACCGAAAGACGUGGGCCAUUCGAGUGGUUGCAUGAUCCACGGAUGAAUAAACCCAAGAACAAGCAGAUGCUGCAUGCUUAAUUUAGAAACAAGAGGACGAGAGCAUUCGGAUAAAUCUAACAUGAUGAUUCUCAAGAGCAAUUGACAGUCUGGUAUCAUUUCUCAGGAGCAUUUGAUAAUCUGACAUGAUUUUCAAGAGCAAACAUGGGAUCGACAAUUGAUGAUUCACAAAGAUUAGCCGCCAAAUCAGGGAAGAUAUAUAAUGAAGCUGCAAAACCUAGUCUUUUUUCAGACAUCUCUUCGUUGACUUUUCUCUCAGGUCUCUUUGGAGUCAAACGCCCUCAGAGGCCCGCAACCUCAGUCGCUACGCGGCCUCGAGGACCCUCAAAGCAUUUAUAAUACACCCCCAGUUUCAGCACACCAUAUGAGCCUCGGCUAAUUUUCUGCCCUUUGGACGGUUGACUUUAGAUCACAAGUUGUCUCAACUGGAAACAGUGGGCAGCUAUACCUUGAGCCCUGGCUUAGUCUGUCAACCAGGCAGCAACCCAACUCUGCUCACCCAAGGAGCAUAUCAGGCGAGCUUUCCAUUUAAAGGGUGAAGCGCCCACUUCCAAAAUUACAUAAACGUGGGGAAAGCAUAGUCCCAAAAAUGUACCAUCUAGAACAUCUUGAAAAACCUGAAAAAGCCAUUGCGUUGCAAUUUCUACUCGUUGACUUUCAGUGCACAUUUUCUCAUCAGUUAUAUUUAUGCAUUUUCGUCUGGGUGAACUGAUAUGAUUUGUCCUUUAGCAUAUCUCGUUUCAAUGAUGCCUGCAGAUUCACGUUGGACAUUAUUUUCUGUGAACUCGGAUGAUGCAGAGCAUGGCAUGUAUAUAGUAGAAAUUCAUGAGUUAUAUAUAUAUAGUUGUUCUUAAUAUGUUAGCCUUUUUUUCUUAUCCACCCUUGUUCUUGGAAAAACCUGAUUCCACAGAUCAAGACAUGUUUUUAAUUAUUAAUCUGUCUUUCAAAUUUACAGAAUCGUGGGAAAAAAAUAGUCCAAAAUUAUGCUAUCUAGAACACCGAGGAAUCAAGCAAACAGUAUUUAAGAAAACUUGAGAGACCAUGAAAAUUCCAUUGCGUUACAAUUUCUACUCAUGGAGUUGCAAUGAACAUUUUCUUGUCAUUAAGUUUAUGCAUGGUUCGUCUGGGUUGACUGACAUGAUUUGCCCUUUAUCAAAUCUCGUUUCAAUGAUAUCUUCAGAUUCACGUUAGACAUUACUUCUAUGAAUUCGGAUCAUGCAGAACAUGGCGUUUAUGGUAGCAAUUCAUGGGUUAUCUAUAUAUAGUCUUUCUUUAUCCACCCUUGUUCUUGGAAAAAAACCUGAUUCCGCAAAUCAGGCCAUCAUUUCAUUAUUAAUCUGUCUGUUACCUUGCCUUCACACGCAUCUAAAGAAAUACACAUAAGAUAUCUCACAAUUUUAUACCACAUUAGGCAAGAAACACGCAUGGAUAACAUAUUGACGCACGACACAGUAAAAUCUGAAUACUACACAGCAUGGCACGGAAUAUACAAUUUAAGAAAUUCAUGGGGAUUUGGCAUCAGCUUACCAUUUUUACUCCAGCACACGUGAGCCUGCAGGGAUCACGCCACAAUACAACUUCACCAUACAAAGACCUUGCUGGAGCCCUUCCCCUAGUUUCUCAUUCUCUUGAUCUCCACCUCCGUUUCAGAUUGUUCAACGACGACGACGACCGCAAGACAUAGCCCCGGAGGCUCUAUCCAAAGAAAUGUGCCGGAAUAAGCAGGAAGAGCGUCCCAUGCGCAAAUUGCCUUCUCUCCUGCGGCUGACGGGAAGAGUGAGGCAGAGGAGUGAUCCAGCACCCGUCCUCCCCUCUGCAACAACAGCCACAGGAGGAGAUUCAAAUGCGGGGAGCGCAGCCAACGGCGGCUACUCCCUUCACGCAAUCCUCGCCACUCCCCCGUUCCCUCCUUCAAUGGAGGGGCGAGACGGCGCCAAGCGCGAAGGAAGAGCCGUCCCUCACAGGUCCCCUCCUCUUCUCCGAAUGCAGCCACUAAUCCGGCGCCGGCGAAGAGAUCCUCGAGUCCUGAUCCCACUCCCGCUCCGGCCAGCGACCAAGCUUCAGCAGCGACGGAGAGCUCUCCUCCCUCUCUUCCUCCCCGCACGAAGAGGACGGGGCCGAUCAGAUCUGCGUUCCUGUUCGUGCCUCGCGCGAAGCACCAUGGAGAAGAAGGGAAGGCCGUUACCUCCUUUAAUACGUAUCCUGUUUUACGUAUAAAUAAAUAUUAGACUAUAUUAUAUAUUAUAUCGUAGAGCUGCCUUAAUUGUCCUUCUAGAAGCUGUGGGGCCCGCCCAGUUUAAAAUAACUCCUUUUUUUAGUGGGGAAAUCGUAUACACGUGGCGUUUGGUGCUGGGAGGAUGCCACGUGGAUCCUGUCGCGGUCGUUAGAAUCGGUUUUUCUAGUUGAUCCUGGCUUUCUAUUCUCCGACGAGGCGGGCGAGCUGUGGGCCCCACAUCGCCCGCUUGAUCUUCCCCCUCGUCCUGCGCCUUCGAAUUUGAAACGUCCGCCGCCGCCGCCGCCGCCGCC